This 75-nucleotide transfer RNA is filed under the name Ixodes scapularis (black-legged tick). RNAcentral's name for it is "tRNA-Thr". The stretch from base 5 to 71 matches the Rfam family "tRNA". From Rfam's summary of the family: Transfer RNA (tRNA) molecules are approximately 80 nucleotides in length. Lineage: Eukaryota; Metazoa; Arthropoda; Arachnida; Ixodida; Ixodidae. The record is from RNAcentral.
GACUGGUGACAGCUCAGUUGGUAGAGCGCUCCACCUGUAAUGGAGAGGCCCCGGGUUCGAUACCCGGACCAGGCG